RNAcentral lists this long non-coding RNA (569 nucleotides) under Struthio camelus australis. RNAcentral describes it as "lncRNA (ENSSCUG00000015047.1)". The record is from RNAcentral. Lineage: Eukaryota; Metazoa; Chordata; Aves; Struthioniformes; Struthionidae.
UGACAAUUUAUCAUAGAAGACUCCUGGCUUCUGUUUGAGAAAAAAAACAAUUUACUUCAACAGGAGGUAGUCCCUUAUGAGAUACAUCCAGCUGGCCACAGCGGGGGCUGGCCUUGUCGUCUUUACAAGCAGGAUAUGUUCACAUGCCAAAGUCAGUAGAAACAAAAUAGAUGACACAUCCACAGUCUGAAGAAGGAAGAAGAGCUCUGUAGCUCAACAGUACUUUGCAGAACAUGCUCCCAGGACGUGCUGGUGAGAUUGCUACAGAGCCUCAAGGACUUCUCUGUCUUCCUCUGGGUAUUUUUGAUUAUGAAUGUGAGCUGGUUCCUUGCAGCUCACUCCCCGGUCUGGGCAGCCGGAGGGGAACAGCCCUGAGGGUGCUACCCCGCACAGCGUUGGGAGGAGGCAGCUGAUCUGAGCGGCAUCUUGAAGAUCCAGAGGUUGAACUCCUCCUUUUAUUUUUCUGUCCCUGCUGUUUUUCUCUCCUGCACUAUAUACACUUCAAGUAUUUGCUACCAAUUUUUUCUUUGGAUUAGUUAUCAAUAAAAUCUCUUCACCAAAUUGCUCCA